RNAcentral lists this transfer RNA (82 nucleotides) under Chloroflexi bacterium HGW-Chloroflexi-10. RNAcentral's name for it is "tRNA-Leu". It matches the Rfam family "tRNA". From Rfam's summary of the family: Transfer RNA (tRNA) molecules are approximately 80 nucleotides in length. Their secondary structure includes four short double-helical elements and three loops (D, anti-codon, and T loops). The record is from RNAcentral. Lineage: Bacteria; Bacillati; Chloroflexota.
GGGGAAGUGCUGGAAUUGGCAGACAGGCAUGACUUAGGAUCAUGUGCCGAAAGGCGUGAGGGUUCGAACCCCUCCUUCCCUA